This 731-nucleotide ribosomal RNA is filed under the name Bacillus subtilis. Its description in RNAcentral is "bacterial SSU rRNA". It matches the Rfam family "Bacterial small subunit ribosomal RNA", at positions 49 to 742 of the family's 1533-position model. Lineage: Bacteria; Bacillati; Bacillota; Bacilli; Caryophanales; Bacillaceae. The record is from RNAcentral.
CUAUACCUGCAGUCGAGCGGACAGAUGGGAGCUUGCUCCCUGAUGUUAGCGGCGGACGGGUGAGUAACACGUGGGUAACCUGCCUGUAAGACUGGGAUAACUCCGGGAAACCGGGGCUAAUACCGGAUGGUUGUUUGAACCGCAUGGCUUCAAACAUAAAAGGUGGCUUCGGCUACCACUUACAGAUGGACCCGCGGCGCAUUAGCUAGUUGGUGAGGUAACGGCUCACCAAGGCAACGAUGCGUAGCCGACCUGAGAGGGUGAUCGGCCACACUGGGACUGAGACACGGCCCAGACUCCUACGGGAGGCAGCAGUAGGGAAUCUUCCGCAAUGGACGAAAGUCUGACGGAGCAACGCCGCGUGAGUGAUGAAGGUUUUCGGAUCGUAAAGCUCUGUUGUUAGGGAAGAACAAGUACCGUUCGAAUAGGGCGGUACCUUGACGGUACCUAACCAGAAAGCCACGGCUAACUACGUGCCAGCAGCCGCGGUAAUACGUAGGUGGCAAGCGUUGUCCGGAAUUAUUGGGCGUAAAGGGCUCGCAGGCGGUUUCUUAAGUCUGAUGUGAAAGCCCCCCGGCUCACACCGGGGAGGGUCAUUGGAAACUGGGGGAACUUGAGUGCAGAAAAAGGAGAGUGGGAAUUCCCCCGUGUAGCCGGUGAUAAUGCGUUACAAGAUGUGGGACGGACCCCUCUUGUGGGCGGAAGGCGGACUCUCCUUGGCCUCGCAACUU